This is a non-coding RNA of Tinamus guttatus (white-throated tinamou), 111 nucleotides long. The record is from RefSeq and is a predicted model, not a curated record. NCBI's taxonomy places the organism in Eukaryota, Metazoa, Chordata, Aves, Tinamiformes, Tinamidae.
AGGGUGACAUGGGUUCCCCUGGACCACCGGGCUUACCUGGAACAACAGCCUUCUUUACCCCACACCCCAGAAUUCCUGGUGAACCUGGACCAAAAGGGGAGAAAGGAGAUC